CCCAGACUCCUACGGGAGGCAGCAGUGAGGAAUAUUGGUCAAUGGUCGGGAGACUGAACCAGCCAAGCCGCGUGAGGGAUGAAGGUACAGAGUAUCGUAAACCUCUUUUGCCAGGGGACAAAGGCGGCCACGGGUGGCCGUAAGAGGGUACCUGGAGAAAAAGCAUCGGCUAACUCCGUGCCAGCAGCCGCGGUAAUACGGAGGAUGCGAGCGUUAUCCGGAUUUAUUGGGUUUAAAGGGUGCGCAGGCGGCGUGUCAAGUCAGCGGUAAAAUGUCGGGGCUCAACCCCGUACUGCCGUUGAAACUGCAUCCCUUGAGUGCGCGAGAAGUAUGCGGAAUGCGUGGUGUAGCGGUGAAAUGCAUAGAUAUCACGCAGAACUCCGAUUGCGAAGGCAGCAUACCGGCGCGCAACUGACGCUCAUGCACGAAAGCGUGGGUAUCGAACAGGAUUAGAUACCCCGGUAGC
This 466-nucleotide ribosomal RNA is filed under the name uncultured bacterium. RNAcentral's name for it is "bacterial SSU rRNA". It matches the Rfam family "Bacterial small subunit ribosomal RNA", at positions 330 to 794 of the family's 1533-position model. The record is from RNAcentral.